AUUCCUGCAGUGCAAUGGAUAGCACAGUGGACUUCUAAUACGUAGAUCGUGGUUUCGAAUUCCACCUGGGAUG
This is a non-coding RNA of Trichonephila inaurata madagascariensis, 73 nucleotides long. Lineage: Eukaryota; Metazoa; Arthropoda; Arachnida; Araneae; Nephilidae. The record is from the annotation of a GenBank genome assembly.